RNA transcript from Oreochromis niloticus (Nile tilapia), 2168 nucleotides. RefSeq lists it as uncharacterized. The transcript has 5 exons. NCBI's taxonomy places the organism in Eukaryota, Metazoa, Chordata, Actinopteri, Cichliformes, Cichlidae. The record is from RefSeq and is a predicted model, not a curated record.
UCAAACCCGACAUUAUAAAACCAAUUGCUUGUGUAUUUUUGGGUGGAGAUCUAUGCUGAUUGUGUGCAGUAUCCAUCUCCCCGUGCGUGUGUUCAAUAAAAUAAUUGUUUGACCAAAGUCUUCUGGAUCAUUGUUGUUUCGUUCUUAUCCUCAAUAUUUUUGAAUUAGGGACAAGUCCCAAACACAUCUUAUUAUCACAUCCUCACAUAUCACAAACUUACGUUGCUCAUUAACGCACACUUCUCACGGAAUGACCAAUUCUCUGCUGGUAAUCUGGAGCAGAAAAGCUCAGGUGCCUUGCCCACGUUUCUCCCUGCCCAUGGUCUCUCUCAUACAAAGCGGUGGGGUGACCUCUACUGGCCACUCUCAAAAACUACAGGUGAACAACUGAACAGAAUAAAACCGUAACUACGGGGCCUUUUGUACAUUCACUCUCAAGGUUAAUAAAUUCUGGGACAAGCAGAAACUGUAUUUUUAGCGGUGCAUUUUGUGGCAGGCCAGACUGCUAUAAAAUGCACUCUCCUUGUAGCACCACUUUAUCUUGGUUCAGGAGAGAUGUCCUGGAUAUACAUGAUAAUGUAACACGGGUGUUUUUGUUUGUUCAUGUUUAGCGCGUUGGGUUGUGUUUUUAAAGCGAAUGUUACGUUUUUAAAGCAUUUUAUGCGACAGGUGUGUGUAGCACUUGUUACACAUCUCAAUGGGAGAGCCAUAGUCGAGACCACACCUUUACCUGACGUACAACGUGACGUAUGGCGCACGCUUUCAAAACAACAAUGGCGGAUAGAAGAUGCUGGUUGCCAACCACCAUUAAAUAACAACAAGAAGAAAAUAUUGAUCUGUUUUUCUUAGUUGUGCACGUUUAAGACGCGAUUCAGACUCAAACAAAGCUGCAAAGCAGGAGAACAACAUGACCAUCAAUUAUUCUGUGCCACAGUCCCAGUUCGCUGCAGCACAGAGUGAUGAUGAGAUGGUGGAAGAACAAAAGAGACAAUUUACGGACCGUUAAGAUGUGCAACUUAGAAGCAGUCAGAGGUAACUGGAUGGAGUUCAAUCAGGUUAAAUGCACAGUUGAUUGGAUUAUAUCUGAAGAUCGUAUGCUAUUCAUGACAACUCUGCUAGACUCCAAAUUUCUCAUCCAAUUAAUGCGGGAGUAUCUCAAAGUAAAUGAAACAACUAAACUUAACACUUUUCCCCUAAGACUGACUGACAUGGGAAACAUUAAAGUUGAACUGGAACAAGCUAAUCAGUCUGAAGGAAUCACAGAACCAGAAGGGAGACCACUGAGGAGGAGUUCUGAGGUCACCAGUUCACUGGUGACCUCAGCUGUCAAGUUCCUGGAUGUGGCAAACAUCUACCAGGAUGUCCCUUGAAGCAGAGAGCAACCUGCCAAGCACCCCAAGGCUGAUUAUGCUUGGACAAAGUUUAAUGACCGCCACCUGCUGGAUGGUGAGUGCAGAGGGGCGUGUAAUUGUUGAGCUGGACAAAGAGAACACCUUUGCUGAUGCUGUCAGUCUUCUUUGGUUCAUUCUAUGUAUUGAACCUGGAAUACCAGGAGUCAGCGUGUGCAACAUUGGAACUAAUUCAGAGGUAUGUUUGAACAGUUAGCUAAUAGUGAUAGAUGAUGAAUAAAUUAUCCGUAAGUAACUCAUUAUUUCAAAUCACAACUCAAUGUUACUGUAUGUUACUAUUUAUUGUGGCAUGUUUUAAGGUUUUUUGUAAGGAUAAACCCUGAAGAGGGAACAAAAUGUACCUCCAAGGUUGGGACAAGCAGAAAGACUGGGACCACUGUGAAGCGAAAGAUGAUCCAUGGCCCAUGCUUUCUGGACAUUUGCACAAGACGAACACCAAUGAAGACAAGCUCUCUCGCCAUCUUGCAAGAAGCUGUCUCUGUCCAAUAGGUUUUUUGAGUGCAACAGCUUUGAUUUUUUUUUUUUCCUUCUUUUACCCGUUUGUUAAAAUUUAUUUCAGCUACUUACACUUUAAUUGUCACAUGUAUUGGCUCACCCUACAAAUCAAUGAACUCAGUCCACAAAGCAAGGUCAGGGUUCAGUGCAGGUCAGUCAAGUUCCUUCACACCACACACGCUCAUCCAUGUCGUUGUGGACCCUGCUUUGUGCAUUGAUUUGGUGGUGUGAGCCAGUAUUUUGGACAAAGUGUAUAUAAAGGCA